ACAUUUAAGUGGAAACAACAUUAGUCUAAUCGAGGAAAAUGCUAUAGGAAACUUAUCCCAGCUAUCUACGUUGAACCUUGGUUCUAAUCCAAUUAACUGUGAUUGCAGUGUAAUUCCAUUUUGGUCAUGGCUAAUUGAAAGAGCAUCUAUUGGAACAAGUGCUAAAUGUAGCGACGGAAAAUUUAUUAUUUCUCUGAGAUCAUCUGAGCUGGACAAAUGUAAUCCUGAUAAUUGCCAAUGCUUUAAUGGUGGAAAAUGUAUCACGAGCGGGGAUGGAAAAGUUGUUUGUGACUGUAUUGGACAAUGGACUGGCGAAUUUUGUCUAGAAAGUCAGUGUACGACAUACGACUGUGGAUUUGGAAACUGCUUUGUAGAACCAAUCAAUGGAACAGCUCAGUGUGUUUGUGACAACAAACACCCAACCUAUUGUCCUGGUAAGCAGUUUAAUUUAGGUGACUAACUGAUCAAAAACUAUGAAAUGGAAAGUUUGACAACAAUCGUAACAUUUAUUAGUAAAAAAAGCAAACCUUAAGAUAUAGCGGAAAUGUAUAUGAAUAUAUUUUAAUUAAUGAAAGAUCUUGCAUUGUUCUGAUUUAUUCAGACCAUUAAAAUGAAAAAAAAAGUUCUUACAGUUCCAAUUGAUAUUUACAUUUGAAUGUGUUAUUAAAAUAUGCAAAUCCACUUUUGAUUAUAGUUUUAAUAUUGUCUCAUUUAAAGAUAAAUAAAUGUUAUACUGUCAUAUGUACAAGAUAAUAUGGUGUUAUUCUCAGUUUUCAUUUGAAACGAUGUAUUUACUAAGAUUAAUCAUUUCAUUAAUCCUAAACAUUUUAUGAUACAAUAUAUAACACACUAUGUUUAUAUACGUGUCACCUACUAACAUUAACAGCUUUUUUUGUUUCAUUAUGAAAUUGCAUGUGUGUAGGAAUAUAACGUUAACACUCUUGUCGUUAUCAAUUUUAAAUAGAAAAUGUUUUCAUAUAUAAUAACAUACAUUUUUCGAAAAGAGAAAUGAUUGUGUAAAUAUUAUUUACUUAAUAUGAAAAUAAAGAAUAUUAGAAGCAGUUAUGAGUUGAUAUUUGUUUUAUUGCCAAUAUGUAAUCGUUUGGAUUUUGGUUAUAGAUCCAUUUAUUUGUUAUUUGAUUUCUUUGUUAGAUUUAUGAUACCUGACAGAUUGUUCUGGUUGAAUAAUUAUCGUUGUUGUUUAUAACUAAACAGUUAAACGGUCAUGACAGAAUAUAUUGAAGUGUUUUCAAAACAUUUCCUGUUUUCUAUUUUGUUUCAUUCAACUUUAUAUAUAAUGUCAAAGAUAAAUUUUUCGUCAAUGAAAAACAUUCAAGGGUUUUCAAAACAUUUGUAUUUUUGUUGUUUUUAAUGAUUAUAUAUUCAUAACAUGUAUCCUUUACUGAAAUAAUUCGCCACUUAGAUCAGUUUUGUUUUAGGAUAAUCAACGUAACACUUAUAAUGGCAAAUUUUCUGAAUUAAUCUCAUUUCUUUAUUCUCUUUGCAAUCACGUAUCUAUGAUUUUGAGAAAAUGGCCCAAAAAUGGUGUGUUCAACUGCAGAUUACAGCAUGGAACAUGAUGAUUAUAAACCAAAUUUAAAGGUUUUUUUUGUCUUUUAGAUGUGAAGAACCUGUUCGAGUACUUCCAUUGUCCCCCGAAUUAAUUUCAACUUAUGUAGAAUCAACAGCAAGUAGAAUCGCCUACAUCGAAACAAAAUUACAUCAUGCCGUUGUUCUAGUUGGUCCAAACUGUUGGUGCAAUUCAACUGACAUUGGCGCAGUAAAAUGUCAUGUUAUUCCUCAUUUAUUUAAACAGUAUAUUUUGACGAUGCACGUAUUGCAUUUGGCAAUUCACUAAAUAUACACUGAUUUCAUUCAUAUAUUUGCUGCUGAAGUUUAUCUGAUAUAUGUGAUAAUUAUUGUGCCCAACAAGCAGUCAAAUAAAAUCAUGCUCAUUGAACCUGGUAUGCUUUUAUAGUUAUUGAAUCUUGCUGUUAUAUGUUUUCUUUUCUUACAUGAGUAGGUUUAAGUAUGUACAAAGAUUUAUUCUUUUGGGAAAUCCCUUAAUUUUAUUCUUUUGUGUAUAGUCCGACUGUAUAUCAUUCAUUUAACAAUAAGCAGCCUCCAGAUAAAAAACAAUUUUUGAAAAUAACUCAAUCAAAUUCUUACAAUAGUAUUAUUUAAAAAAAAGAUACCGAACUCCGAGGAAAAAUUCAACAGAAAGUUCGCAAAAAAAUGACAAAAUCAAAAGGUCAAUCACAUCAACCAAAUGGAUUACUGUCAUAUAUUUUGACUUGGUUCAGGCAUUUUUAUGUAGUAAAUGGUGAGCUAAAAUGGUUUUAUAGCUAUAUAAAUCCCUCACUUGUUCAGAUUGUUGAAUUGUCUUUUGCUGAAGUUAUCAUCUGUGAUGGUUUAAUUUGUAUAUGUGUAUUUGUUUUAUAUUUCAUCGAAAAAAAUCAAAAAUAUUGCUAAUUAUUGUUCUAUCAGUGUUUUUCCGAAAAUGUGUUUCCCUUGUCCAUCUCCUGAUUUAUUGAUAGUAAAAUGUUCUGUUUAUACAUGAAUGUAAAUGUACUAACAUAAGUACUAAUGUUUCGAUUCCCUCGUGCAAGUAUGCCUUAAUUGUCCUCAACCUAUGUUCUUAUAUUUUUUCGAUUUCAUGACUUCAUCGUUUUUUAUAUUACUAUAAUAAACUUACAGGCGUACCUGAUUGGGGUUACUUUGUAUAUAAUGUUUCUUGGAGUCCUUUACUUUUUUGUUGCAAUUAUAGAAAUUUGACAGAAAAAUAACAUUUUGUGGAUUUAACUUUAUUUACAAUCUACAGGUACACUGUCCAAUUUUGAAUGAUGUACACAACUCUAUAUUUAAAUAUGACAUAAAACAAACUGCCAGUGGUUAAUAAAAUUCAUAUUUAGACAUUGUGGAUAUCAUAUUGUUGAAAACCUGUUGUAUUGAAUAGUAAACUUUACCAUGUACUGUAUUUUAUGGGACAAACAAAUUAAAAUGUCAUUCCAAACAUCCAAUAUGUAUUUCUCAUUUACACACACACUUUAACUUCAUUGAUCAAAUUUCAAUCGCCAGGUAUCGUUCAUUCAUAGGCACAAACUUCAGCACCGUUGAUUUAGGAGUAUACUUCAAAUCAGUUUCAAUCAGGACCGUGUUCUGAAAUUUAAAAACAAAUGAGGAAAACACACAUAGUGGCUGGUAAUAUAUUGUUAUAGCUUCUCUAGAAAUGUUUCAAUGAUUAGUUGAGAAAACCUUACACGCAUAUACCAUUUUGUUUUCUGUUUGUAAUUGUUAAAUUAGUUUUGUUAUUUUAAAAACAAGUUGUAACUGAAAAAAUAGUAAUAUGUAAUUUUGUAUAUUUUCAUUUUUACUUAAGUCUCAAAGAUAUGUAUAGAAUGCAAUUCAUCGCGACACUAUUCGAACUUGUGAAUACAGUUACAUGGUCAAAAACUGAACAUGAAAUCAAUGUCUGAUGUAAAUAUUACUUAUGGGUUGAGUACCGUUUUAAUGUGAAAUAAAGUACACUUAUUUUAA
Long non-coding RNA from Mytilus trossulus (common blue mussel), 3537 nucleotides. RefSeq lists it as uncharacterized. Lineage: Eukaryota; Metazoa; Mollusca; Bivalvia; Mytilida; Mytilidae. The record is from RefSeq and is a predicted model, not a curated record. The transcript is spliced from 6 exons.